UACGGAGGGAGCUAGCGUUGUUCGGAAUUACUGGGCGUAAAGCGCACGUAGGCGGCUACUCAAGUCAGAGGUGAAAGCCCAGGGCUCAACCUUGGAACUGCCUUUGAAACUAGGUAGCUAGAAUUCUGGAGAGGUCAGUGGAAUUCCGAGUGUAGAGGUGAAAUUCGUAGAUAUUCGGAAGAACACCAGUGGCGAAGGCGGCUCACUGGACCGGUAUUGACGCUGAGGAGCGAAAGCGUGGGGAGCGAACAGG
This 253-nucleotide ribosomal RNA is filed under the name uncultured bacterium. RNAcentral's name for it is "partial 16S ribosomal RNA". It matches the Rfam family "Bacterial small subunit ribosomal RNA", at positions 524 to 776 of the family's 1533-position model. The record is from RNAcentral.